This 856-nucleotide long non-coding RNA is filed under the name Olea europaea subsp. europaea. Lineage: Eukaryota; Viridiplantae; Streptophyta; Magnoliopsida; Lamiales; Oleaceae. The record is from RNAcentral.
AAUCGUUGAUGAAAUAGUCCACAUUUGGGCAUCUCCAGUUCUUGAAGCAUCAAAGAACAGAUUUCGUCAUUUUGCUUACAGAUCAAAUCCUCAAUCAGCUGCAUACAGGUAAAAUCACUACGAGUUUAUUUUCGGCUUUUGCAUAUGUCAAAUUCGGAUUUCGAAGAGAAAUUUAUUUCAUUUUUAUGCAUAAAUUUCCUCGGAUUCUUACAUGUAAAAGAUCUAGGGUUUUAAAUUCUAAUACGUACUGACUUAACUAAAAUAAUUCACUUUGAAUCUGAAUUUGUGAACAACGAAAUAUUAUCUCAAGGUUUAAUAUGAUUCUCUUGGGAUUUUAAUUUAGUUACUUCACUUGAAUCGAAUUUCCAGCAAAAUUUUAGAAUUUUUUUUUUGUAUUUUUCAUAUAGAGAUUUAACGACUAAAUCUAACAUAUACACUUUUGCAGCAUAAAUAGAUGGGGUUUAUAAUGGAGUUUGCGGAAAAUUUGAUACUUCGGCUGAUGGAGGAUCCUAAGGAGAGGGACAAGAAGUUUAGGGAGCAUUUGUACAAUUUGAAGGACAGAUGCCAGAAGACCAAGGAAAUGUGGAGCCUGCCUCUGCGUCCUUACGGCUUCUGGAAUUUUGAUCGCCAUAAUGCACAAAUUUUUUGGGAUUCUCAGAUUAGUCAAGUUCCAGGUCGCCGUGACCCCUAUGAUGACCUCCUCCAGGACCCUUACAUUGAUACUACUGCUUCCUCUUCCUCCUCAAAGUAAUUGGUGAGUUUCUUCCUAUUUCAUGACGUGGCCCAAUUGUGGGGUUGUGCAUAUGUGUUCUGUGAAUUUGUAGUUUUUAGGAGUUAGGACUAUUUGUCAUCAUUU